CGCGUAGGCGGGGAGGUAAGUCGGGUGUGAAAUCCCUCGGCCCAACCGAGGAACUGCGCCCGAGACUGCUUCUCUUGAGUCCCGGAGAGGAAGAUGGAAUUCCCGGUGUAGCGGUGAAAUGCGUAGAGAUCGGGAGGAACACCGGUGGCGAAGGCGGUCUUCUGGACGGUGACUGACGCUGAGGCGCGAAAGCGUGGGGAGCAAACGG
RNAcentral lists this ribosomal RNA (208 nucleotides) under uncultured bacterium. RNAcentral describes it as "partial 16S ribosomal RNA". It matches the Rfam family "Bacterial small subunit ribosomal RNA", at positions 568 to 775 of the family's 1533-position model. The record is from RNAcentral.